UUUUGCAAUGUUCCUCACUGUUGUCCUCAGGAUUCAGGAUGGGAUAGAUGGACUCCUGUACAACAGACCCUGUUUAUAGAUAUAAAGACAGGAAGACCAAAUAAAAAGUAUGAUGGAAAGGUUAUGAAGGAUGGAUACACCUUAAUUAUCCAAAAUCUGACCGAAAAUGAUCUUAAUGUCUCAUAUUCCUGUUUGUAUGGUGUAACUUUA
This 210-nucleotide long non-coding RNA is filed under the name Mytilus galloprovincialis (Mediterranean mussel). Lineage: Eukaryota; Metazoa; Mollusca; Bivalvia; Mytilida; Mytilidae. The record is from RNAcentral.